GACGAACGCUGGCGGCGUGCUUAACACAUGCAAGUCGAGCGGUAAGGCCCUUUCGGGGGUACACGAGCGGCGAACGGGUGAGUAACACGUGGGUGACCUGCCCUCAGCUCUGGGAUAAGCCUGGGAAACCGGGUCUAAUACUGGAUAUGACUCCAUGACGCAUGUUGUGGGGUGGAAAGCCUUGUGCGGCUGAGGAUGGGCCCGCGGCCUAUCAGCUUGUUGGUGGGGUNANGGCCUACCAAGGCGACGACGGGUAGCCGGCCUGAGAGGGCGACCGGCCACACUGGGACUGAGACACGGCCCAGACUCCUACGGGAGGCAGCAGUGGGGAAUCUUGCGCAAGUGGGCGAAAGCCUGACGC
RNAcentral lists this ribosomal RNA (361 nucleotides) under uncultured bacterium. Its description in RNAcentral is "bacterial SSU rRNA". It matches the Rfam family "Bacterial small subunit ribosomal RNA", at positions 28 to 389 of the family's 1533-position model. The record is from RNAcentral.